CCUACGGGAGGCAGCAGUGGGGAAUCUUGGACAAUGGGGGCAACCCUGAUCCAGCGACGCCGCGUGGGUGAUGAAGGUCUUCGGAUUGUAAACCCCUUUCGGCGGGGAAGAUGGAACGGGUAACCGUUCGGACGGUACCUGCAGAAGCAGCCACGGCUAACUUCGUGCCAGCAGCCGCGGUAAU
RNAcentral lists this ribosomal RNA (184 nucleotides) under uncultured bacterium. Its description in RNAcentral is "partial 16S ribosomal RNA". It matches the Rfam family "Bacterial small subunit ribosomal RNA", at positions 338 to 524 of the family's 1533-position model. The record is from RNAcentral.